UUUACACUUUCCAUCUACCCAUUUUUUUAUCCUCAAUUGGGUGGCGGUUGAGCUGGCGUCACUCCCAGCUGAUUUGGGGCGAGAGGCAGGGCUAUCUAACGUGGCCAGUAUAUUAGGCCUGUACACUGUCCUGCCUGGAGCGAAGAAAAAAAGUUAAAAAAA
Molecule: long non-coding RNA, 162 nt
Organism: Hippocampus comes (tiger tail seahorse)
Lineage: Eukaryota; Metazoa; Chordata; Actinopteri; Syngnathiformes; Syngnathidae
Exons: 2
Source: RefSeq, a predicted model, not a curated record